CCACCGUCCGAUCUUUGAUUCUUCUCCGCCCUCUUCUUGCCCAAGGGGAAAUAUCUCUUCGUCGGCUCGUCGUCAACGUGUCUCUCUCUCUCUAUCUCAGAAAUCUUCGCCGGGAAGCCAUGACAAGCUCCCCCGCGAAAGGUCUGUCUCAAUCUAGCUUUGAUUUCUGGAUUCGGGUUUUGACUGUUUGACUUUGGGAAACUUCGAAACUGCACGGGAUCUGAGUAAGAUCGUGUGCAUUCUGCUCCCGCGGGGUUCAUUCACAAGGUCCCUGGUAAUCUCCAGAGUGACCUGAAAAUUUCUAGGUUAGAGAUUGAUAAUUGAAGUUACGGAAAGCUCCGCCGACUCUGUGCACGAACGGAACAUUCCGGCUUCAGGUUGAAUUUCCUGAGCAUUAUCCCGUGGAAGCUCUACCACAACAACUGUUGUGAUUCUUAUUGUACAGAUGAGUUUGUUCCUCCGGCUCCCCUGCAUCAUCUCAUUUACCGUGAUGGACAUAUUUUUAUAGCCGAAGCAGACAAAGAAGAAAGCGACCCGAACGAAGCAAGAUAUGGGUUUGGGAAGACUUUCUGGCCUGUGGCGAGUAUAUGUCGUGG
Molecule: long non-coding RNA, 596 nt
Organism: Tarenaya hassleriana
Lineage: Eukaryota; Viridiplantae; Streptophyta; Magnoliopsida; Brassicales; Cleomaceae
Exons: 4
Source: RefSeq, a predicted model, not a curated record